CUCAGCCCAGGUCUGAUCCUACAGCAAAUCUAAAGGUCAGGGAGCUUUUCCAAUAAUCAGCAGGUUUAACAGUCCUGGUUUUGUAUUUUCCAGAAAUUGUCCCUAAGGUGUUCCACGAGACUGAUAGAAAGGCUGAUACUCCUGCAGGAGGAGGACCAAGUCACAAACUACAAGUGAGUCCUGUGCUGUGACGAAUGCAAGAAAGGACACUGAGAAUUAGACACCGGGUCUUUACUGCUGUCCGAUGCGACGGGGGAGUGGGGAACCCCUGGAAAGAUCACCACCUGCACUGGAGCUGGGGUUUCUCGUCUGUU
RNAcentral lists this long non-coding RNA (314 nucleotides) under Bos taurus (domestic cattle). RNAcentral's name for it is "long non-coding RNA NONBTAT017554". Lineage: Eukaryota; Metazoa; Chordata; Mammalia; Artiodactyla; Bovidae. The record is from RNAcentral.